UGCCCCAGGCAAGUGCCUCACGAGCGGCUUGUUGUUUUGGAGGAAGAAAGACAGAAGCUGAACUUUGGUGACUGCUGUGUCGGUCUUGUGUGAGCCUGAGUUAAAAUGUGAGUUCUCCAUAGAGCCUGGCUGCGAUCUUUUGCUGCCUGGCAAAACAAGGAAACGACAGGAUAGAAAUUCACCGAGCCUAACUCUACUGCUUCCUUUUCUUUUUCUCUCCCUUUCAUAUAAAUCACACCCUUUUGAAGCCGCUUGCUUUUCUUUCGUGGGCACAAACCCCUCGUCUUUUUAAAGUCUGCCUUUAAAGCUAAUUGUUUCAACAGGACAAGAAACUUGUAAAAGGCAGCUCCAGCUUAUCUCCAGUUUGUCUUCCCAGGAAUGCUUGUAAGAGAAGUGUCCAUUCGUACAAUAGGAGCGACUGUUCAAAGGCUGGUAGGAGAAGAAAAGAGAACUGCAAGAAGUAAUCCUCGGAGCAGAUUUCUUACUGGAGUCGCUGCGGCUUUGGCCCCUUUGAUAGGAAAACUGGCAACAUCCUUCUGCAAGAAGAUGGAGAUGUCAGCUUUCAGACCCCCACGUGCCACAGGAUGACAGUGUGCUCCUGCCUGCCCCCAACCUCCUCCUUUGGCCUGGUCGUUAUACCCAAGGCCUCGCUCAAGACUAACAGCACUUUCCUAAUAAAUAGUAUCACCGUGUCA
RNAcentral lists this long non-coding RNA (695 nucleotides) under Coturnix japonica (Japanese quail). RNAcentral's name for it is "lncRNA (ENSCJPG00005007182.1)". The record is from RNAcentral. Lineage: Eukaryota; Metazoa; Chordata; Aves; Galliformes; Phasianidae.